GACAGAGGCCUCGAGCGUUAGGCGGAAUCACUGGGCUUAAAGCGUGUGUAGGCGGACCUCUAAGUACCUUGUGAAAUCCCACGGCUCACCCGUGGAACCGCUGGGUAUACUGGGGGUCUUGGGCCACUCAGGGGCGACUGGAACAAGCGGUGGAGCGGUGAAAUGCGUAGAUAUCGCUUGGAACGCCGAAGGUGAAAACAGGUCGCUGGGAGUGCGCCGACGCUGAGACACGAAAGCCAGGGGAGCAAACGGG
Molecule: ribosomal RNA, 253 nt
Filed under: uncultured bacterium
Lineage: Bacteria
Description: partial 16S ribosomal RNA
Rfam family: Bacterial small subunit ribosomal RNA
Source: RNAcentral